AUUGAACGCUGGCGGCAUGCCUUACACAUGCAAGUCGAACGGCAGCACGGGAGCAAUCCUGGUGGCGAGUGGCGAACGGGUGAGUAAUAUAUCGGAACGUGCCCAGUCGUGGGGGAUAACGUAGCGAAAGCUACGCUAAUACCGCAUACGAUCUAUGGAUGAAAGCGGGGGAUCGCAAGACCUCGCGCGAUUGGAGCGGCCGAUAUCAGAUUAGGUAGUUGGUGGGGUAAAGGCUCACCAAGCCGACGAUCUGUAGCUGGUCUGAGAGGACGACCAGCCACACUGGGACUGAGACACGGCCCAGACUCCUACGGGAGGCAGCAGUGGGGAAUUUUGGACAAUGGGCGCAAGCCUGAUCCAGCAAUGCCGCGUGCAGGAUGAAGGCCUUCGGGUUGUAAACUGCUUUUGUACGGAGCGAAAAGGCUCUCUCUAAUACAGGGGGCUCAUGACGGUACCGUAAGAAUAAGCACCGGCUAACUACGUGCCAGCCGCCGCAGUAA
RNAcentral lists this ribosomal RNA (500 nucleotides) under uncultured bacterium. RNAcentral describes it as "partial 16S ribosomal RNA". It matches the Rfam family "Bacterial small subunit ribosomal RNA", at positions 30 to 523 of the family's 1533-position model. The record is from RNAcentral.